RNAcentral lists this long non-coding RNA (1351 nucleotides) under Neodiprion pinetum (white pine sawfly). RNAcentral's name for it is "uncharacterized LOC124221949, transcript variant X2". Lineage: Eukaryota; Metazoa; Arthropoda; Insecta; Hymenoptera; Diprionidae. The record is from RNAcentral.
AAACCGUAAUUACAACAUCGCAAACAGCGACGCCUGGAUCCGAAACGCCGAACUGCCGCGCCAGUGCCUUUCUCGGUGGGACACGUGACCCUCGCGCCAUCUUGAAUUCAGGCUGCCGACUAACUGCCUCGUCGACGCUCGGGAAGAAAGCUGUCGUGGCGAGCGUGGAUGGCGAGGAUGUUUUGGAAAAGCGGUUGCGACCUUUAACCGAAUGAAACUGAGAAUGAUUCGGGAGUAACCGCCCCCUUAGUUGGCGAAUAGGAUUCGUUUCACAUCUGCGAAUUCGAAUGAACAGAUUUACUCGCAAGAUUUUAAGAAAGGAACCUGAAGGAGGCAACAUUCGCGUUCAAUCGAAGAUGCCGCUGGUAGUCUUAUUUUGUAGAGAGCAUCUUAUCUGGCCUACGGUAUGCCAAAGUACACGAUUCCAUAGAAAACACAGAUAAACGAUCGGAGAUAUUUCGAAGAAGAAAAUAUGGAAUACACAAAUUGAGACGCAGUAAGUAGAAGCGGUUGCAUCGACUGGCAGGAACCCCGAGUCCCCGUUCCAAGCAACCAAGCAAGGACCCAACUUACCUACAGUGCUGAAUCGAUCGUGUUCUGCUCCUGCCUAUCUUACCAAUGAACGCUUCGCCUCUGCGAGCUGCAGGAUGCCCAGCUAAUUCUGCCGAUCGCGGACGCAGAUUUCGUUGUGCAAAACGAUGUUAUGGAUAUCCAAUUGGGAGGUAACUGCGAGCUGCAACCACACGGUACGUGACAAGAGACACGAGGCCCAGCAACCAAGAAGUCCGGUAGCAGCCAUCAGGAAUCCCAAUGCCACAAUAGCGAACGCCAAAUAGUAAAACAGAGGCUGUUCAGGGGUUGCAUCGCCUGGGCCCAAUAGACGCGACAGCAGGAUUCGCUCGUUGUCAGCCAGGAGAAGUGUCCCUAGAGAGAUCAGGAUGAAUCCUGAGAUCUGAAAUUGGAUGGGACUGGCCAACGUGAUCGAACGAAGGGGGAAUUUGAAUUUAUACGUGCUUCGAAUGGUGUAACACUCUGGAAUUUGGUCGUACCUGUUGAGUCUCGGAACUGAGGUGUUGCAGGGUGUGCGUCAGGUAUUGUCGAUGUUUCGGGACGAAUGCGUUCUGAUGUGACGAGUCCAAGAAACAGAGUGCAUCCAGCCCUCGGAAGGAUUGCGAGGUGCAUAAGAUAUGUGGGAAGUGAUUAUUCAAGUGCGUCGGUAAUGAAAUUUAUACUGUUCUGCUUUAUUAUGAAAAGAUACACCAUGGAAAUGUACAUGAUUUUGAAAAGAAAGGUUAUGAGUUGGACAAUAUUGAUUAUGAAGAUUUUCCUUGCUGGUAAAGAACCUUCUUAA